Molecule: microRNA, 23 nt
Filed under: Scyliorhinus torazame (cloudy catshark)
Lineage: Eukaryota; Metazoa; Chordata; Chondrichthyes; Carcharhiniformes; Scyliorhinidae
Description: Sto-Mir-1-P4_5p* (star (passenger))
Source: RNAcentral
ACGUACUUCUUCAUAUGCCCAUA